CCGGCUCGGGUCGCCUGUCCUCCGGUGACCCGGUAAGCGCUGGGUCGGGGCUUGGCUCACGGGUGAGGAACGCUGAAAGGCAGCAGGCCCGGAAGGGCCUCGGCAGUUUCCUGGGCUAACCCAGGUGCUGUAGUCAGGCCUCUGAUCCCCUACUUAGGUCCGGGCGGCGCUGCUGGCUGUAGGUUGGAGUUCAGAGGCAGCCCAGAGCUCCACUUCUAGGUCGUUGGGGGGCAGCGCCAGAUGGCGGAAUACCCUCUCUCCAGCUCCAAGCUCUGCACCCCCGGGACUACCAAGCCGGAGCCUGAUCUUCCUAAUCGCUGUUGUGUGCAGCGCUUUAGAGGAUGUCACUCCCAACCCCCAAACAAGGGGUCUUGGACUCCAUUUCACCGAAGAGAAAACUGAAGCACAGAGGGGGGAAAUUGUUUACUCCAGGUCAUGAAGCUAAUUAGAGUCAUACCUACUGAGUGAAUGAUAGAUGCAUUAGCCAUGGCACAUGCCUAGUAGGAACUCAAUACAAGUAACAAGUUACACAUCCUCCUAACACUGGGGACUCCUCCACCUUGGGCUCAUUGCCAUCCAAAUUUUAUGGAGCUCUUAGGUCCCCUCAUUCCUGGAUCUUUUUCCAGGAGGCCUCUGGAGACCUGGUCCCCUUUUGUGGCCCUGACCCUCACUCUGAACCUUGGAGACCCAGAGCCCAAUAAAAUUGCUGCAUCAAAAUUUCUGACCACAGAAAGGUGAGUCAUUGGCUGCCUCAGGGUGUCUCUGGGGCUGAUGUUGGGGUAGGAUGGAGGGUGAGAGUUCCCUGCUUGGCCCUUUAUUACCUCCCCAACCCCUAGCAUUGUCAGCUGAGAAGGACAUGACCUGGCCUAGUGCUGGUGAUUACUAGGCUUGUGCUGCCCCCUUCUCUGCUUACAGAGAGGGCCAGGAGAAGGGAGUAGGAGAAGGAGAGUUCUGGCUUUCCAAGUGGAUGGGCCCAGAGACUGGGCCAAGAGUCCCAUCCCAGCCUGGGCUUUGCUAAAGGAUGGGUGGGGUAGAAGUGGCUUGGGGCUCAAGAGCUAUUCUGGGCACAGCUGCUGUAGUUAUUAAAGGGAAUGGUUCUCCCUGGAGCAGAACUGGGAAUGUGAGAACCAGGAAGCUGGCAAAGCUGGGAAAGCAAAUCUGGGAGGCUCCCCCAGUGGUCAUGAGAGGGGGCGGGCACUGGCUGGCUGGUGCUACUGUCACUCCUGGCUCUGUCACUUAUUUGCUGUGUGACUUCAGGCAGGGAGCUUCCUCCCACUGAACCUCUUUUACCUUAAUCUGUCUAUAAUUUGAGGAGACCCCCAAUGGGUUCUGGUACACAGUGGGUGCUCUGGUAGAUGCAUGAUGAAUCUUGGUGUUAGGAACUCUAAACCCUUUUAUAGCUGGGCAGAGGGGUUUUGAGGUGAGCAGUAACUUGAAAAGUUCUGACUCCUCUCUGACCUCCCUAUCUCCCCUGCCUCAUUAUAUUUUUGGGUGAUUGUUUGCUGAGGCCUUCCUAUGUAUACUCUGGGCUGGAUGUUUAGUGUCCUGGGACUAGACCUGCCUGGCCACCAUCUAGUGUGUGUCUUUGGAUAGACUGAUUUCCUCUGAUUCUCAGGUUGUAAAAUGGGCCAGGUGAAUAUGAUGGCCCUCACCAAGGCUCCAACCUUCUCUUCCUUCAGGAGGGGCCAAACUUUCAGGAUUUUUGGUAACUGAAUCACUGACUCCCUAUGGCCGACAGACAGGUUGGGAUAUGUGGCUUGUAUCAGGCAGACACUAGUUGGGGGUGCCCAACCUUUUAUUAUAAUCUCUGUAGAUUUCCCACCAGAGAAGCCAGCACCCAGGGAAUACUUCUGUCUGGAGCCCACUGUGGGUUUGCAAAUGUGGAAAUACUCUGUUUAUGGAGGUUGGAUGAUUCUGUGGCAAAUAUGAAAACAUAUCCCAGAAAUGGGAGGGAUAGAAAUAACUCAGGUGGGUUAGCAGUAAGUGUAGACUGCCUCCAGGGAAUAGAAAAGUAGACAUGCCCCCAGGGAGUUCUACAGAAAAUGUGGAAACAUCCCUAGAGGAAGGUGACAAGUGUCUCAGUAGCAAAAUGGUUGACCAUCUUCAGGGGAUAGGUGAGGAGGCUCAAGCUUUGGGACAUCCAGGGGACUCCUAGCCAGGCCUAGUCCUAAGGCAGGCUGAAGUGGGGAGAAGGGCAGGUCUAUAGCCACCUCCUUGACAUCUCUAUUCCUGGAGCAGGGGAUCUCCUUUCUUAUUUUCAUCCAGGGAAGGGCUGAUUGAGGGGUUGGGUCCUGGUCUUACCCUCAUUGCUCAUCCUUAAGGGCUCCUGGGGUUUGAUAGGCCCUCCCUUCAUCAUUACCUCCCACUGACCUGCUGUCUCUCUGAGGCCAGGCAACCUGAUCUUCCUCCUAGCCAGGAAUGCUGCCCUUGAGCAGGAGCUUAGGUAUAGGGGGUGAGAGGGGGGAGGGCCCAUGGGAAUAGGAUCUUAGAACCUCAUCUGACAGACACAGAUGAGAGCUGUGCAAUCACAUGGUAGCGGUUCUGUGGGAUUUCUGCUAGCCAGUACUUUACAAGCCACACAGGCUCAAGUAGUGGUUCCUAAUCUGGGGGGUCAAGGAGUAAUGUUAGGAAAUCAUGAUGAAAACUUCUUCCCAGAAAAAUACCCAGGUCACCAAGUUAAAACUGUCUAAUCCAGAGAGAUACCCAGCAAAGGCAAUGGAGUAUAGUGAUUGGGGGUGCUGACUCUGGAAUCUGACUGUAUGGGUUUAAAUCCAACUUCUGUGUCUUAUUAGCUGUGAGACUUUGCACAAGUUACAUUACCUCUCUGAGCCGCAGUUUCUUUACCUGUAAAAGAGGGAUAAUAAUUAGACCCACUUCCUAGAGUUGUUGUGAGAAGUACCUGUGGUAAUAUAGGUAAAGUGCUUAGGACAGUACCUAGCACAUGAAUGUUAGCUGUAUUAUGAUAAUAAGUAAUCACAAUAUCAGACAGUUUCUUCCUUGCUUGGAGAACUGCUAUUUACCCUUCAAGGUUCAGCGUGGAUGUCCAACCCUCUGGAGACCUUUCCUGAUAGAGUCUAGUCAUAUAUAUCACUCCUUCCAUGCCCCUAGAGCAUGCAAUAAUGUUAAUAAUUAACUAGUUGAUUCUUUUACUGAACGCUUACUCUGUGCCCUGGUACGGCUCUAAGCACUUUGUGUUUAGCUCAUUUAAUUCUCAUUAGAGCCCAGAGGAGGAUACUAUUAUUAGCUCGUGUAAUUCUUAUAAGGGCCCAGAGGAAGGUACUAUUAUCACUGGCAUUUGAUAGAUGAGAAAACUAAAGCACAGAUGAGUUAAAUAACUUCGUAAGGUCACGCAGAAAAUAGAGAAGCAUGAAAGCAGGUGGACUUACCAGGACACGCACACACCGCAGAGCUUCCCCACACAUCCCUUAGAGCGUACUCUCACUAUGCUCUGAGGGCUGGGGGUGAUAUCCCUAGCCGGGAGUCGGGUGGGCGCUGUGACUCCUCUCUGCACCUCCCAGGUAUCUGCACUGCCGCUGGGCGCCCCCCUGAGACCGUUUCACUCUCCCACCAUGUUCCAGCGCCUCACCAGCCUCUUCUUCAGUACUCCCCCGCCCCCCGAGGACCCCGGAUGCCNN
This 3635-nucleotide long non-coding RNA is filed under the name Lynx pardinus (Iberian lynx). Lineage: Eukaryota; Metazoa; Chordata; Mammalia; Carnivora; Felidae. The record is from RNAcentral.